This is a long non-coding RNA of Anopheles funestus (African malaria mosquito), 2725 nucleotides long. RefSeq lists it as uncharacterized. The transcript has 4 exons. The record is from RefSeq and is a predicted model, not a curated record. NCBI's taxonomy places the organism in Eukaryota, Metazoa, Arthropoda, Insecta, Diptera, Culicidae.
CUUUUUUUUAAUUUAAAGCACUAUUUAAGUGAAAAGAAACUUAUUGCAACAAAUUCCCAUCAAAAUAUAUCACAUUUAAAAUUUUUGCUACAUUGCUCAAAAAUGAGGACAAUUUUACAUUUUCUCAAACAGGGUAAGGAACUUGGUUCCUCGAAUAACUUCUGGCACAGACAUCUGAGGGCAUGGCUGUCCAAGAAGAAAAUGUAGCCAUUGUUGCCAUCUAUCGACCACAGGUUAAAGUUUGGCGAUCCGUUGGAUACCGACCGAGUUAUAGGCAAAACUUGGUGCAAAAAUGAGGAAAAUUUUACAUUUUCUCAAACAGGGUAAGGAACUUGGUUCCUCGAAUAACUUCUGGCACAGACAUCUAAGGGCAUGGCUGUCCAAGAAGAAAAUGUAGCCAUUGGUGCCAUCUAUCGACCACAGGUUAAAGUUUGGCGAUCCGUUGGAUACCGACCGAGUUAUAGGCAAAAUUUGGUGCAAAAAUGAGGAAAAUUUUCUUUUUUUUUUUAUUUUUAGAUUUUUUUUAUUAUUUUUCACUCUUUUUUUAUUUUAAUCAUUAUUAGAGUGAAAAGAAACUCAUUGCAACCCAUUGGCAUUAAAAUAAAACAAUUUAAUUUUUUUUGCAAAAUUUCCCAAAAAAAUCGUUAGGGGUAAGCCUUAUGAAAUUUUCGAGUGGAAAAUUUUUUUGAAUUUUUUUUCUGAUUUUUUAUUCUUAUUUUAAUUUAAAGCACUAUUUAAGUGAAAAGAAACUUAUUGCAACAAAAUCCUAUCAAAAUAUAUCACAUUUAAAAUUUUUGCUACAUUGCUCAAAAAUGAGGAAAAUUUUACAUUUUCUCAAACAGGGUAAGGAACUUGGUUCCUCGAAUAACUUCUGGCACAGACAUCUAAGGGCAUGGCUGUCCAAGAAGAAAAUGUAGCCAUUGGUGCCAUCUAUCGACCACAGGUUAAAGUUUGGCGAUCCGUUGGAUACCGACCGAGUUAUAGGCAAAAUUUGGUGCAAAAAUGAGGAAAAUUUUCUUUUUUUUUUUAAUUUUUUGAUUUUUGUAAAUAAUUUUUCACUCUUUUUUUAUUUCAAGCAUUAUUAGAGUGAAAAGAAACUCAUUGCAACCCAUUGGCAUUAAAAUAAAACAAUUUAAUUUUUUGUGCAAAAUUUCCCAAAAAAAUCGUAAGGGGUAAGCCUUAUGAAAUUUUCGAGUGGAAAAUUUUUUUGAAUUUUUUUUCUGAUUUUUUUAUUCUUUUUUUAAUUUAAAGCACUAUUUAAGUGAAAAGAAACUUAUUGCAACAAAAUCCCAUCAAAAUAUAUCACAUUUAAAUUUUUUGCUACAUUGCUCAAAAAUGAGGAAAAUUUUACAUUUUCUCAAACAGGGUAAGGAACUUGGUUCCUCGAAUAACUUCUGGCACAGACAUCUAAGGGCAUGGCUGUCCAAGACGAAAAUGUAGCCAUUGGUGCCAUCUAUCGACCACAGGUUAAAGUUUGGCGAUCCGUUGGAUACCGACCGAGUUAUAGGCAAAAUUUGGUGCAAAAAUGAGGAAAAUUUUACAUUUUCUCAAACAGGGUAAGGAACUUGGUUCCUCGAAUAACUUCUGGCACAGACAUCUAAGGGCAUGGCUGUCCAAGAAGAAAAUGUAGCCAUUGGUGCCAUCUAUCGACCACAGGUUAAAGUUUGGCGAUUCGUUGGAUACCGACCGAGUUAUAGGCGAAAUUUGGUGCAAAAAUGAGGAAAAUUUUCAUUUUUUUUUUAAUUUUUUGAUUUUUUUUUAUUAUUUUUCACUCUUUUUUUAUUUCAAGCAUUAUUAGAGUGAAAAGAAACUCAUUGCAACCCAUUGGCAUUAAAAUAAAACAAUUUAAUUUUUUUGCAAAAUUUCCCAAAAAAAUCGUAAGGGGUAAGCCUUAUGAAAUUUUCGAGUAGAAAAUUUUUUUGAAUUUUUUUUCUGAUUUUUUAUUCUUUUUUUAAUUUAAAGCACUAUUUAAGUGAAAAGAAACUUAUUGCAACAAAUUCCCAUCAAAAUAUAUCACAUUUAAAUUUUUUGCUACAUUGCUCAAAACUGAGGAAAAUUUUACAUUUUCUCAAACAGGGUAAGGAACUUGGUUCCUCGAAUAACUUCUGGCACAGACAUCUAAGGGCAUGGCUGUCCAAGAAAAAAAUGUAGCCAUUGUUGCCAUCUAUCGACCACAGGUUAAAGUUUGGCGAUCCGUUGGAUACCGACCGAGUUAUAGGCAAAACUUGGUGCAAAAAUGAAGAAAAUUUUACAUUUUCUCAAACAGGGUAAGGAACUUGGUUCCUCGAAUAACUUCUGGCACAGACAUCUAAGGGCAUAGCUGUCCAAGAAGAAAAUGUAGCCAUUGGUGCCAUCUAUCGACCACAAGUUAAAGUUUGGCGAUCCGUUGGAUACCGACCGAGUUAUAGGCAAAAUUUGGUGCAAAAAUGAGGAAAAUUUUACAUUUUCUCAAACAGGGUAAGGAACUUGGUUCCUCGAAUAACUUCUGGCACAGACAUCUAAGGGCAUGGCUGUCCAAGAAGAAAAUGUAGCCAUUGGUGCCAUCUAUCGACCACAGGUUAAAGAUUGGCGAUCCGUUGGAUACCAACCGAGUUAUAGCCGAAAUUGGUGUAAAAAUAAACCUUUUGAAAUUUUCAAAUUUUUAUAAUUUUUUUUAUUUUUUUUUUUAAUUUUUUAUCCGUUUUUUAUUUAAAGCAUUAUUUGAAUGAAAAGAAUCUCAUUUCAA